RNAcentral lists this unclassified non-coding RNA (211 nucleotides) under uncultured fungus. RNAcentral describes it as "partial internal transcribed spacer 2". Lineage: Eukaryota; Fungi. The record is from RNAcentral.
AAUUCUCAACUCUUCAAUGGUUUUCAUAAUUGUUGACUGAGCUUGGAUGUGAGGGUUUUGCCGGCUUCUUAGUUGAGUCUGGCUCCCUUGAAAUGCAUUAGCGCAGCUUUGCCAGUCCGCUUCAGGUGUGAUAAUCUAUCUACUCCUUUAGUGACAAGCAUAAAUAGCUUUGUGCUUCCAACCGUCUCCUUGUGAGACAGCAUUUUUUUAA